This 166-nucleotide ribosomal RNA is filed under the name uncultured bacterium. RNAcentral describes it as "partial 16S rRNA". It matches the Rfam family "Bacterial small subunit ribosomal RNA", at positions 355 to 514 of the family's 1533-position model. The record is from RNAcentral.
UAGGGAAUCUUCCACAAUGGGCGCAGCCUGAUGGAGCAACACCGCGUGAGUGAAGAAGGGUUUCGGCUCGUAAAGCUCUGUUGUUAAAGAAGAACACGUAUGAGAGUAACUGUUCAUACGUUGACGGUAUUUAACCAGAAAGUCACGGCUAACUACGUGCCACCAG